ACGAGCUCUUCAGGAGCUAGUGGCGGACGGGUGAGUAACGCGUGAGAACCUGCCUACCAGACGGGGACAACAGCGGGAAACCGCUGCUAAUACCCGAUAAGCCGAGAGGUGAAAGAUUAAUUGCUGGAAGAGGGGCUCGCGUCCGAUUAGCUAGUUGGUAAGGUAAAAGCGUACCAAGGCGACGAUCGGUAGCUGGUCUGAGAGGACGAGCAGCCACACUGGGACUGAGACACGGCCCAGACUCCUACGGGAGGCAGCAGUGGGGAAUUUUCCGCAAUGGGCGAAAGCCUGACGGAGCAAGACCGCGUGUGGGAGGAAGGCUCUUGGGUCGUAAACCACUUUUCUCAGGGAAGAAGAAAGUGACGGUACCUGAGGAAGAAGCCUCGGCUAACUCCGUGCCAGCAGCCGCGGUAAUACGGAGGAGGCAAGCGUUAUCCGGAAUGAUUGGGCGUAAAGCGUCCGUAGGUGGUCUAUCAAGUCGGCGGUAAAAGACCGAAGCUUAACUUCGGAGUGGCCGUGGAAACUGAGAGACUAGAGAGCGACAGGGGCAGAGGGAAUUCCCAGUGUAGCGGUGAAAUGCGUAGAGAUUGGGAAGAACACCAGUGGCGAAAGCGCUCUGCUGGGUCGCAACUGACACUGAGGGACGAAAGCUAGGGGAGCGAAAGGGAUUAGAUACCCCUGUAGUCCUAGCCGUAAACGAUGGAUACUAGGCGUGGCUUGUAUCGACCCGAGCG
Molecule: ribosomal RNA, 734 nt
Filed under: Chroococcidiopsis sp. SCyano33
Lineage: Bacteria; Bacillati; Cyanobacteriota; Cyanophyceae; Chroococcidiopsidales; Chroococcidiopsidaceae
Description: bacterial SSU rRNA
Rfam family: Bacterial small subunit ribosomal RNA
Source: RNAcentral